RNAcentral lists this ribosomal RNA (406 nucleotides) under uncultured bacterium. RNAcentral describes it as "bacterial SSU rRNA". It matches the Rfam family "Bacterial small subunit ribosomal RNA", at positions 354 to 777 of the family's 1533-position model. The record is from RNAcentral.
GUGGGGAAUAUUGCACAAUGGGGGAAACCCUGAUGCAGCGACGCCGCGUGGAGGAAGAAGGCCCUCGGGUUGUAAACUCCUGUCUUCGGGGACGAUAAUGACGGUACCCGAGGAGGAAGCCACGGCUAACUACGUGCCAGCAGCCGCGGUAAAACGUAGGUGGCAAGCGUUGUCCGGAAUUACUGGGUGUAAAGGGAGCGCAGGCGGAGCGGCAAGUUGGAGGUGAAACCCAUGGGCUCAACCCAUGAACUGCCUUCAAAACUGCCGGUCUUGAGUGGUGUAGAGGUAAGCGGAAUUCCCGGUGUAGCGGUGGAAUGCGUAGAUAUCGGGAGGAACACCAGUGGCGAAGGCGGCUUACUGGGCACUAACUGACGCUGAGGCUCGAAAGCAUGGGUAGCAAACAGGA